GAUGAACGCUGACGGCGUGCCUAAUACAUGCAAGUCGAGCGAACGGACGAGAAGCUUGCUUCUCUGAUGUUAGCGGCGGACGGGUGAGUAACACGUGGAUAACCUACCUAUAAGACUGGGAUAACUUCGGGAAACCGUAGCUAAUACCGGAUAAUAUUUUGAACCGCAUGGUUCAAAAGUGAAAGACGGUCUUGCUGUCACUUAUAGAUGGAUCCGCGCUGCAUUAGCUAGUUGGUAAGGUAACGGCUUACCAAGGCAACGAUGCAUAGCCGACCUGAGAGGGUGAUCGGCCACACUGGAACUGAGACACGGUCCAGACUCCUACGGGAGGCAGCAGUAGGGAAUCUUCCGCAAAGGGCGAAAGCCUGACGGAGCAACGCCGCGUGAGUGAUGAAGGUCUUCGGAUCGUAAAACUCUGUUAUUAGGGAAGAACAUAUGUGUAAGUAACUGUGCACAUCUUGACGGUACCUAAUCAGAAAGCCACGGCUAACUACGUG
This 497-nucleotide ribosomal RNA is filed under the name uncultured bacterium. Its description in RNAcentral is "partial 16S ribosomal RNA". It matches the Rfam family "Bacterial small subunit ribosomal RNA", at positions 28 to 507 of the family's 1533-position model. The record is from RNAcentral.